This 208-nucleotide ribosomal RNA is filed under the name uncultured Micrococcineae bacterium. RNAcentral's name for it is "partial 16S ribosomal RNA". It matches the Rfam family "Bacterial small subunit ribosomal RNA", at positions 568 to 775 of the family's 1533-position model. The record is from RNAcentral. Lineage: Bacteria; Bacillati; Actinomycetota; Actinomycetes; Micrococcales.
CUCGUAGGCGGUCUGUCGCGUCUGGUGUGAAAUCCCGAGGCUCAACCUCGGGCUUGCAUCGGGUACGGGCAGACUAGAGUACUGUAGGGGAGACUGGAAUUCCUGGUGUAGCGGUGGAAUGCGCAGAUAUCAGGAGGAACACCGAUGGCGAAGGCAGGUCUCUGGGCAGUUACUGACGCUGAGGAGCGAAAGCAUGGGGAGCGAACAG